GGAUCAUUAAAGAGUUUAAUAAAACUCCUAAACCCCUGUGAACUUACUGGUGUUUGGCUCGCCAGAUAUAGUCUGGUCCGUAAGCAAAUCGACUGCCUGCCUGUGUAACAGGCAGGUAAGCUUUUGUCGCGGGGUCCCGGAUCAACCCGGGCUAGAUAGCCACUUAACUAUAUACUUUUUAUAAAAUCUGUGAACUUACUAGGUUGGAUUCUCGCCAGAGAUAGUCUGGUUUCUGCUUCGCGGAUCGCCUACCCGUGACACCUGUCACAGGUAGGUAAGCUUUUGCCGCGGGUCCGCAUGUAAAUCGUCUGUUUCACAAGGGACGGCGAUUUACCUGUGGAAGAGGUCCGCUAACUAUAUUCUUAGUAUAGUUUGUUCACUAGAUCAAACAUUCUGAAUAAAAACUUAAACUAGUUAAAACUUUCAACAACGGAUCUCUUGGUUCUGGCAUCGAUGAAGAACGCAGCGAAAUGCGAUAAGUAAUGUGAAUUGCAGAAUUCAGUGAAUCAUCGAAUCUUUGAACGCACAUUGCGCCCAUUAGUAUUCUAGUGGGCAUGCCUGUUCGAGCGUCAUUUCAACCCUUAAGCCCCUGUUGCUUAGCGUUGGGAGCCUACACUGUAGCCUGCUGUAGCUCCUUAAAGGUAGUGGCGGAGUCGGUUCACACUCUAGACGUAGUAAAAUCUUUAUCUCGCCUAUGGAUGAGCCGGCGCCUUGCCGUAAAACCCCUAAUCUUUCACAAGGUUGACCUCGGAUCAGGUAGGAAUACCCGCUGAACUUAAGCAUAUCAAUAAGCGGAGGAAAAGAAACCAACAGGGAUUGCCCUAGUAACGGCGAGUGAAGCGGCAACAGCUCAAAUUUGAAAUCUGGCCUUCGGGUCCGAGUUGUAAUUUGCAGAGGAUGCUUUGGGCGCGGUGCCUUCCGAGUUCCCUGGAACGGGACGCCUUAGAGGGUGAGAGCCCCGUACGGUUGGACACCAAGCCUCUGUAAAGCUCCUUCGACGAGUCGAGUAGUUUGGGAAUGCUGCUCUAAAUGGGAGGUAAAUUUCUUCUAAAGCUAAAUAUUGGCCAGAGACCGAUAGCGCACAAGUAGAGUGAUCGAAAGAUGAAAAGCACUUUGAAAAGAGGGUUAAAUAGCACGUGAAAUUGUUGAAAGGGAAGCGUUUACGACCAGACCUUUUCGCAGCGGAUCAUCCGGUGUUCUCACCGGUGCACUUCGCUGGGUUGAGGCCAGCAUCGGUUUCCGCAGGGGGAUAAAAGCCUGGGGAACGUAGCUCCCUCGGGAGUGUUAUAGCCCCUCGCAUAAUACCCUUGCGGGGACCGAGGACCGCGCU
RNAcentral lists this ribosomal RNA (1330 nucleotides) under Xylaria sp. genotype 426. RNAcentral's name for it is "eukaryotic LSU rRNA". The stretch from base 743 to 1330 matches the Rfam family "Eukaryotic large subunit ribosomal RNA", at positions 1 to 599 of the family's 3401-position model. Lineage: Eukaryota; Fungi; Ascomycota; Sordariomycetes; Xylariales; Xylariaceae. The record is from RNAcentral.